This 240-nucleotide ribosomal RNA is filed under the name uncultured bacterium. RNAcentral's name for it is "partial 16S ribosomal RNA". It matches the Rfam family "Bacterial small subunit ribosomal RNA", at positions 94 to 334 of the family's 1533-position model. The record is from RNAcentral.
AGCGGCGGACGGGUGAGUAACGCGUGGGUAACCUGCCUCAUACAGGGGGAUAACAGUUGGAAACGGCUGCUAAUACCGCAUAAGCGCACAGUACCGCAUGGUACGGUGUGAAAAACUCCGGUGGUAUGAGAUGGACCCGCGUCUGAUUAGGUAGUUGGUGGGGUAACGGCCCACCAAGGCGACGAUCAGUAGCCGGCCUGAGAGGGUGAACGGCCACAUUGGGACUGAGACACGGCCCAA